AUUGAACGCUGGCGGAAUGCUUUACACAUGCAAGUCGAACGGCAGCACGGACUUCGGUCUGGUGGCGAGUGGCGAACGGGUGAGUAAUAUAUCGGAACGUGCCCAGUCGUGGGGGAUAACGUAGUGAAAAUUACGCUAAUACCGCAUACGAUCUAUGGAUGAAAGCGGGGGAUCGCAAGACCUCGCGCGAUUGGAGCGGCCGAUAUCAGAUUAGGUAGUUGGUGAGGUAAAGGCUCACCAAGCCAACGAUCUGUAGCUGGUCUGAGAGGACGACCAGCCACACUGGAACUGAGACACGGUCCAGACUCCUACGGGAGGCAGCAGUGGGGAAUAUUGGACAAUGGACGCAAGUCUGAUCCAGCCAUUCCGCGUGCAGGACGAAGGCCUUCGGGUUGUAAACUGCUUUUGUACGGAACGAAAAGGUCUCUAUUAAUACUAGGGGCUCAUGACGGUACCGUAAGAAUAAGCACCGGCUAACUACGUGCCAGCAGCCGCGGUAA
This 500-nucleotide ribosomal RNA is filed under the name uncultured bacterium. RNAcentral describes it as "partial 16S ribosomal RNA". It matches the Rfam family "Bacterial small subunit ribosomal RNA", at positions 30 to 523 of the family's 1533-position model. The record is from RNAcentral.